Molecule: ribosomal RNA, 201 nt
Filed under: uncultured bacterium
Lineage: Bacteria
Description: partial 16S ribosomal RNA
Rfam family: Bacterial small subunit ribosomal RNA
Source: RNAcentral
UUACUCCUACGGGAGGCAGCAGUAGGGAAUCUUCCACAAUGGGCGAAAGCCUGAUGGAGCAACGCCGCGUGUGUGAUGAAGGGUUUCGGCUCGUAAAACACUGUUGUAAGAGAAGAAUGACAUUGAGAGUAACUGUUCAAUGUGUGACGGUAUCUUACCAGAAAGGAACGGCUAAAUACGUGCCAGCAGCCGCGGUAAUAA